This 243-nucleotide long non-coding RNA is filed under the name Brassica rapa (field mustard). Its description in RNAcentral is "long non-coding RNA (BRAP_LNC007813)". The record is from RNAcentral. Lineage: Eukaryota; Viridiplantae; Streptophyta; Magnoliopsida; Brassicales; Brassicaceae.
AAAAUAAAAAAAUCUACAUAAGGAAAUUUUUCUAAAUUAAUAUCUCUAUAAAUUAAUAAAAUUUCAAAAUCCCGACAUUAUUAAUUUAUAGAGGUUCUACUGUAUGUUACAAGUAGUUGAUAAUUAUAUGUAAUAGAGUUAGAAAUUAUACGAUGAUGUAAUGUGUGCUACACAAUUAAAAAAAAAAACAAUUUCCCUAGAGUUCUAAACAUAGUUUUAAAUUACUAUAGUCGAUAAAAAAAC